RNAcentral lists this ribosomal RNA (884 nucleotides) under uncultured bacterium. Its description in RNAcentral is "bacterial SSU rRNA". It matches the Rfam family "Bacterial small subunit ribosomal RNA", at positions 8 to 916 of the family's 1533-position model. The record is from RNAcentral.
AGAGUUUGAUCAUGGCUCAGGAUGAACGCUGGCGGCGUGCCUAACACAUGCAAGUCGAACGGAUGCAGCAAUGCAUUAGUGGCGCACGGGUGAGUAACACGUAGCUGACCUGCCCUUCAGUGCGGGAUAACGGUUCGAAAGGACUGCUAAUACCGCAUAAGCUCACGGACUUUAGAGGUCUGCGAGAAAAGUUCCGGCGCUGAAGGAGGGGGCUGCGGUCCAUCAGGUAGAUGGUGAGGUAACGGCUUACCAUGCCGACGACGGAUAGGGGACCUGAGAGGGUGACCCCCCACACUGGAACUGAGACACGGUCCAGACUCCUACGGGAGGCAGCAGUGAGGAAUAUUGCUCAAUGGGCGCAAGCCUGAAGCAGCGACGCCGCGUGGACGAUGAAGGCUUUCGGGUCGUAAAGUCCUUUUUGAGGUGACGAGCAGGGACGGUAGCCUCAGAAUAAGUGUCGGCUAACUACGUGCCAGCAGCCGCGGUAAAACGUAGGACACGAGCGUUAUCCGGAGUUACUGGGCGUAAAGGGCGUUUAGGCGGGUGAUUAAGUUCGCUAUGAAAGCGCCGGGCUAAACCCGGCGAGGCUGGCGGAUACUGGUCAUCUGGAGUGAGGGAGAGGGAAGUAGAAUUCCGCGUGUAGUGGUGAAAUGCGUAGAGAUGCGGAGGAAUACCAGUGGCGAAGGCGACUUCCUGGCCCUCAACUGACGCUGAAGCGCGAAAGCAUGGGGAGCGAACGGGAUUAGAAACCCCGGUAGUCCAUGCCGUAAACGAUGUGCACUAAACGUUCGGUUUCCGCGAGGGAGCCGGGUGUUGAAGCUAACGCGGUAAGUGCACCGCCUGGGGAGUACGGUCGCAAGGCUAAAACUCAAAUGAAUUGACGG